This 1065-nucleotide long non-coding RNA is filed under the name Mytilus galloprovincialis (Mediterranean mussel). The record is from RNAcentral. Lineage: Eukaryota; Metazoa; Mollusca; Bivalvia; Mytilida; Mytilidae.
CCCAUUUGGACCAACUUGAAAACUAGGCCAAUAAUUAAAAAUCUAAGUACAUUUUUAAAUUCAGUAUAUCAAAGAACCCCAAGGAUUCAAUUUUUGUUAAAAUCAAACUAAGUUUAAUUUUGGACCCUUUGGACCUUAAUGUAGACCAAUUUGAAAACGGACCAAAAAAUUAAGAAUCUACAUACAUAGUUAGAUUCGGCAUAUCAAAGAACCCCAAUUAUUCAAUUUUUGAUGAAAUCACACAAAGUUCAAUUUUGGACCCUUUGGGCCCCUUAUUCCUAAACUGUUAGGACCAAAACUCCCAAAAUCAAACCCAACCUUCCUUUUAUGGUCAUAAACCUUGUGCUUAAAUUUCAUAGAUUUCUAUUUACUUAUACUAAAGUUAUGGUGCAAAAACCAAAAAUAAUGCUUAUUUGGGCCCCUUUUUGGCCCUUAAUUCAUAAACUGUUGUGACCUCAACUCCAAAAAUCAAUCCCAACCUUCCUUUUGUGGUCAUGAACAUUGUGUUUAAAUUUCAUUGAUUUCUAUUUACUUAAACUAAAGUAAUUGUGCGAAAACCAAGAAUAAUGCUUAUUUGGGCCCUUUUUUGGCCCUUAAUUCAUAAACUGUUGUGACCUCAACUCCAAAAAUCAAUCCCAACCUUCCUUUUGUGGUCAUGAACAUUGUGUUUAAAUUUCAUUGAUUUCUAUUUACUUAAACUAAAGUAAUUGUGCGAAAACCAAGAAUAAUGCUUAUUUGGGCCCUUUUUUGGCCCCUAAUUCCUAAACUGUUGGAACCAAAACUCCCAAAAUCAAUCCCAACCUUUCUUUUGUGGUCAUAAACCUUGUGUCAAAAUUUCAUAGAUUUCUAUUAACUUAAACUAAAGUUAUAGUGCGAAAACCAAGAAAAUGCUUAUUUGGGCCCUUUUUGGCCCCUAAUUCCUAAAAUGUUGGGACCAAAACUCCCAAAAUCAAUCCCAACCUUCCUUUUGUGGUCAUAAACCUUGCGUUAAAAUUUCAUAGAUUUUCAUUCACUUUUACUAAAGUUAGAGUGCGAAAACUAAAAGUAUUCGGACGACGACGACGC